GAUGAACGCUGGCGGCGUGCUUAACACAUGCAAGUCGAGCGAAGCACUUAAGUUUGAUUCUUCGGAUGAAGACUUUUGUGACUGAGCGGCGACGGGUGAAGGUACUGUAUCGGAACGUGCCCAGUAGCGGGGGAUAACUACGCGAAAGCGUAGCUAAUACCGCAUACGCCCUACGGGGGAAAGGAGGGGAUCUGCAAGGACCUUUCACUAUUGGAGCGGCCGAUAUCGGAUUAGCUAGUUGGUGAGGUAACGGCUCACCAAGGCGACGAUCCGUAGCUGGUUUGAGAGGACGACCAGCCACACUGGGACUGAGACACGGCCCAG
Molecule: ribosomal RNA, 324 nt
Filed under: uncultured bacterium
Lineage: Bacteria
Description: bacterial SSU rRNA
Rfam family: Bacterial small subunit ribosomal RNA
Source: RNAcentral